Molecule: long non-coding RNA, 600 nt
Organism: Carassius auratus (goldfish)
Lineage: Eukaryota; Metazoa; Chordata; Actinopteri; Cypriniformes; Cyprinidae
Exons: 4
Source: RefSeq, a predicted model, not a curated record
CAAACCUUUUGGCAAGGAUCAAUGUUUGUUGUUUUUUGUUGGUAAUAAAAUACAGUGACUUGUGUACUAUUAGUAUUGGUGAAGUAACUUUACACUGUCAUAUUUCUAUCUUACUGAGACUUACUGAGAUUCAAAAGUAGUCAUGACAGUUAGUCUUUGAAAAAAAACUAACUAUUUAUCUUUGUAUCUACUGAAUCUCUGUAGGUUUGAUUCUUGUCUGAACUCAGUAAGAAGGAGUGGUCUUUAUGUUUGAGGCGGGGUCUCUUUCUGCCCGAAAGUGAAAAUACAUCCUGAAGCUCUUAUAGCAGUAAGGAGCUUUGUCAGCAUUACUCAGAUUUCCUGCUGUAAGAAUGGUUGGGGCCACAGAUGCACCAGCAUUUUACCUCUCAUGGAACCAAACUUCAUCUGCACCCAUUUUUUUUGUAAUACAAUGGAUCAGUUAUAUGUUAUAUAGCAUCUGUGCUAUUAUUGUGUUGGUGUUUUUGUUCCAUUGCUUUCAUGGAUUCUCCAAGAGAUACAGGCAAAACCGUAAAACAGGUAAAAUCACACCGGAGGUGGGUGAUGCUUUAAAUCAAGGCAGCGGACCAGAAAACAUAAAGG